UUUUUCCUGCAACUCUCACUGGACGUCUGAAGCUUUGCAAGAUCUUUCUAGACAUGUGAAGCUUUGCAAGGUAUUUCUGAUUCUGACUUCAUCCAGAUUAAGUACUUCAACAAUGGAUUUAGACGUUAUAUAUCCUAUGCUUUUAAAUAAGUGAAAUUUAGAAUCCUAUGUUCAUCUAUGAGGCUCGGAUCGUUUGAAUAUUCUCUAAAGUUCGCUACUAUACUUUUAAGUGAUUGAAAUGGCUAAAGAAAUAAGAUAAGGACUUGAAAGAAGUUUAGAGGGAAGACUUGGAUCAAACUUUCUCAUGCAUCGAGAUGGCCUUUAAAUAGGAAAUACAUGGGACUUGACUCAACUAGCCUACUGAUUCAUGAGGAAAUAGAAGACAACUGGGAUGGGAAGAGAUAAUCAAGAAGGGUGGAUAUAUCAGCUUAUUCGGGAUCAGGUGCGAAUGAUCGUCAUAUGCUAAUGCCUACUUUAUAUAACUAAUACCUGGAAAAUAUUGAAUAUGCUGUUGUACAUUGUAUCAAACACAUAAUACACUUGGAUUUUCUUUUAUUGUAUGUGCCUAAAUAAUGGCUAACUUGGUUGUAUCUGGAGUUGAUAAUACUUUUGUUGAUUUACUACUUUGAGUAUGUGAAUAUACGGUUUUGCCGCCGCAAAGCGCGGCAUGGCUA
This 674-nucleotide long non-coding RNA is filed under the name Helianthus annuus (common sunflower). Its description in RNAcentral is "hypothetical non coding rna". The record is from RNAcentral. Lineage: Eukaryota; Viridiplantae; Streptophyta; Magnoliopsida; Asterales; Asteraceae.